UACGGGGGGAGCAAGCGUUGUUCGGAUUUACUGGGCGUAAAGGGCGCGUAGGCGGUCAUGACAAGUCACUUGUGAAAUCUCCGGGCUUAACUCGGAACGGUCAAGUGAUACUGUCAGACUAGAGUGCAGAAGGGGCAACUGGAAUUCUCGGUGUAGCGGUGAAAUGCGUAGAUAUCGAGAGGAACACCUGCGGCGAAGGCGGCUCUCUGGGACGGUACUGACGCUGAGACGCGAAAGCGUGGGGAGCGAACAGG
This 254-nucleotide ribosomal RNA is filed under the name uncultured bacterium. RNAcentral's name for it is "partial 16S ribosomal RNA". It matches the Rfam family "Bacterial small subunit ribosomal RNA", at positions 524 to 776 of the family's 1533-position model. The record is from RNAcentral.